RNAcentral lists this ribosomal RNA (305 nucleotides) under uncultured bacterium. RNAcentral describes it as "partial 16S ribosomal RNA". It matches the Rfam family "Bacterial small subunit ribosomal RNA", at positions 508 to 808 of the family's 1533-position model. The record is from RNAcentral.
ACAGCAGUCGCCGCAGUAAUACGUAGGUCCCGAGCGUUGUCCGGAUUUAUUGGGCGUAAAGCGAGCGCAGGCGGUUAGAUAAGUCUGAAGUUAAAGGCUGUGGCUUAACCAUAGUACGCUUUGGAAACUGUUUAACUUGAGUGCAAGAGGGGAGAGUAGAAUUCCAUGUGUAGCGGUGAAAUGCGUAGAUAUAUGGAGGAACACCGGUGGCGAAAGCGGCUCUCUGGCUUGUAACUGACGCUGAGGCUCGAAAGCGUGGGGAGCAAACAGGAUUAGAUACCCCCGUAGUCCCUGUCUCUUAUACA